This 243-nucleotide ribosomal RNA is filed under the name uncultured bacterium. RNAcentral describes it as "partial 16S ribosomal RNA". It matches the Rfam family "Bacterial small subunit ribosomal RNA", at positions 28 to 271 of the family's 1533-position model. The record is from RNAcentral.
GACGAACGCUGGCGGCGUGCUUAACACAUGCAAGUCGAGCGGUAAGGCCCUUUCGGGGGUACGACGAGCGGCGAACGGGUGAGUAACACGUGGGUGACCUGCCCUCAGCUCUGGGAUAAGCCUGGGAAACUGGGUCUAAUACUGGAUAUGACUCCACGGUGCAUGUCGUGGGGUGGAAAGCCUUGUGCGGCUGAGGAUGGGCCCGCGGCCUAUCAGCUUGUUGGUGGGGGGAUGGCCUACCAA